RNAcentral lists this ribosomal RNA (330 nucleotides) under uncultured eukaryote. RNAcentral describes it as "partial 18S ribosomal RNA". It matches the Rfam family "Eukaryotic small subunit ribosomal RNA", at positions 1470 to 1796 of the family's 1831-position model. The record is from RNAcentral.
CCCUUAGAUGUCCUGGGCCGCACGCGCGCUACACUGAUGCAUGCAACGAGUUUAUAACCUUGGCCUGAAAGGUCUGGGUAAUCUUUUGAACGUGCAUCGUGAUAGGGAUAGAUUAUUGCAAUUGUUAAUCUUGAACGAGGAAUUCCUAGUAAACGCGAGUCAUCAGCUCGCAUUGAUUACGUCCCUGCCCUUUGUACACACCGCCCGUCGCUCCUACCGAUUGAAUGUGUUGGUGAGGAGCUCGGAUUGGCAGCAGUUGGUGGUUCGCCACCGGCUAUUGCUGAGAAGUCCUCCAAACCGCCCCAUUUAGAGGAAGGAGAAGUCGUAACA